UACGGGGGGGGCAAGCGUUGUUCGGAAUUACUGGGCGUAAAGGGCUCGUAGGCGGCCAACUAAGUCAGACGUGAAAUCCCUCGGCUUAACCGGGGAACUGCGUCUGAUACUGGAUGGCUUGAGGUUGGGAGAGGGAUGCGGAAUUCCAGGUGUAGCGGUGAAAUGCGCAGAUAUCUGGAGGAACACCGGUGGCGAAGGCGGCGAUCCUGGACCAAUUCUGACGCUGAGGAGCGAAAGCCAGGGGAGCAAACGGG
This 254-nucleotide ribosomal RNA is filed under the name uncultured bacterium. RNAcentral describes it as "partial 16S ribosomal RNA". It matches the Rfam family "Bacterial small subunit ribosomal RNA", at positions 524 to 776 of the family's 1533-position model. The record is from RNAcentral.